RNAcentral lists this ribosomal RNA (1064 nucleotides) under Hypocrella raciborskii. RNAcentral describes it as "SSU rRNA". It matches the Rfam family "Eukaryotic small subunit ribosomal RNA", at positions 30 to 1106 of the family's 1831-position model. The record is from RNAcentral. Lineage: Eukaryota; Fungi; Ascomycota; Sordariomycetes; Hypocreales; Clavicipitaceae.
GCUUGUCUCAAAGAUUAAGCCAUGCAUGUCUGAGUAUAAGCAAUUAUACAGCGAAACUGCGAAUGGCUCAUUAUAUAAGUUAUCGUUUAUUUGAUAGUACCUUGCUACUUGGAUAACCGUGGUAAUUCUAGAGCUAAUACAUGCUAAAAAUCCCGACUCCGGAAGGGAUGUAUUUAUUAGAUUAAAAGCCAAUGCCCUCUGGGCUCUCUGGUGAUUCAUGAUAACUUCUCGAAUCGCACGGCCUUGCGCCGGCGAUGGUUCAUUCAAAUUUCUUCCCUAUCAACUUUCGAUGUUUGGGUAGUGGCCAAACAUGGUUGCAACGGGUAACGGAGGGUUAGGGCUCGACCCCGGAGAAGGAGCCUGAGAAACGGCUACUACAUCCAAGGAAGGCAGCAGGCGCGCAAAUUACCCAAUCCCGACUCGGGGAGGUAGUGACAAUAAAUACUGAUACAGGGCCCUUUCGGGUCUUGUAAUUGGAAUGAGUACAAUUUAAAUCCCUUAACGAGGAACAAUUGGAGGGCAAGUCUGGUGCCAGCAGCCGCGGUAAUUCCAGCUCCAAUAGCGUAUAUUAAAGUUGUUGUGGUUAAAAAGCUCGUAGUUGAACCUUGGGCCUGGCGGGCUGGUCCGCCUCACCGCGUGCACUAGUCCCGCCGGGCCUUUCCCUCUGCGGAGCCCCAUGCCCUUCACUGGGCGUGGCGGGGAAGCAGGACGUUUACUUUGAAAAAAUUAGAGUGCUCCAGGCAGGCGUAUGCUCGAAUACAUUAGCAUGGAAUAAUGAAAUAGGACGCGCGGUUCUAUUUUGUUGGUUUCUGGGACCGCCGUAAUGAUUAAUAGGGACAGUCGGGGGCAUCAGUAUUCAAUUGUCAGAGGUGAAAUUCUUGGAUUUAUUGAAGACUAACAACUGCGAAAGCAUCUGCCAAGGAUGUUUUCAUUAAUCAGGAACGAAAGUUAGGGGAUCGAAGACGAUCAGAUACCGUCGUAGUCUUAACCAUAAACUAUGCCGACUAGGGAUCGGACGAUGUUAUUCAUUGACUCGUUCGGCACCUUACGAGAAAUCAAAGUGC